AGUGAACGCUGGCGGUAGGCCUAACACAUGCAAGUCGAACGAGUGGCGGACGGGUGAGGAAUACCUGGGAAACUGCUCUGUCGUGGGGGAUAACGUCGGGAAACGUACGCUAAUACCGCAUACGAUUGGAUGAGCCCAGGUCGGAUUAGCUAGUUGGGGGGGUAAAGGCCCACCAAGGCGACGAUCCGUAGCUGGUCUGAGAGGAUGACCAGCCACACUGGAACUGAGACACGGUCCAGACUCCUACGGGAGGCAGCAGUGGGGAAUAUUGCACAAUGGGCGCAAGCCUGAUGCAGCCAUACCGCGUGUGUGAAGAAGGCCUUCGGGUUGUAAAGUCCUUUUGGUGGGAAAGCGGUACUCAAAGAAUAAGCACCGGCUAACUUCGUGCCAGCAGCCGCGGUAAUAC
RNAcentral lists this ribosomal RNA (406 nucleotides) under uncultured bacterium. Its description in RNAcentral is "partial 16S ribosomal RNA". It matches the Rfam family "Bacterial small subunit ribosomal RNA", at positions 29 to 526 of the family's 1533-position model. The record is from RNAcentral.